RNAcentral lists this transfer RNA (83 nucleotides) under Lachnospiraceae bacterium. It matches the Rfam family "tRNA". From Rfam's summary of the family: Transfer RNA (tRNA) molecules are approximately 80 nucleotides in length. Lineage: Bacteria; Bacillati; Bacillota; Clostridia; Lachnospirales; Lachnospiraceae. The record is from Rfam by way of RNAcentral.
GCCGGCAUGUCGGAAUGGCAGACGAGGAAGACUCAAAAUCUUUUGGUGGCAACAUCGUGUGGGUUCAAGUCCCACUGCCGGCA